GCUCCAGUAGCGUAUAUUAAAGUUGUUGCAGUUAAAAAGCUCGUAGUUGGAUUUCUGGUACGCUGCGCCUGGCCGCCGCGUAGCGGUGUGAGUGUCGGUGCGCGGUUGCCAUCCUUCUAGAGAACGUGUCUACCUUUAAUUAGGCCGGAUUCGGGAUCUAGAUCAUUUACUUUGAAAAAAUUAGAGUGUUUAAAGCAGGC
RNAcentral lists this ribosomal RNA (200 nucleotides) under uncultured eukaryote. RNAcentral's name for it is "partial 18S ribosomal RNA". It matches the Rfam family "Eukaryotic small subunit ribosomal RNA", at positions 588 to 785 of the family's 1831-position model. The record is from RNAcentral.